RNAcentral lists this ribosomal RNA (640 nucleotides) under Limnobacter sp. S12. RNAcentral describes it as "bacterial SSU rRNA". It matches the Rfam family "Bacterial small subunit ribosomal RNA", at positions 30 to 664 of the family's 1533-position model. Lineage: Bacteria; Pseudomonadati; Pseudomonadota; Betaproteobacteria; Burkholderiales; Burkholderiaceae. The record is from RNAcentral.
AUGACGCUGGCGGCAUGCCUUACACAUGCAAGUCGUCCGGUAACAGGUCUUCGGAUGCUGACGAGUGGCGAACGGGUGAGUAAUACAUCGGAACGUGCCCAGUAAUGGGGGAUAGCUCGGCGAAAGCCGGAUUAAUACCGCAUACGCCCUGAGGGGGAAAGUGGGGGACCGCAAGGCCUCACGUUAUUGGAGCGGCCGAUGGCUGAUUAGCUAGUUGGUAGGGUAAAGGCCUACCAAGGCGACGAUCAGUAGCUGGUCUGAGAGGACGAUCAGCCACACUGGGACUGAGACACGGCCCAGACUCCUACGGGAGGCAGCAGUGGGGAAUUUUGGACAAUGGGGGAAACCCUGAUCCAGCAAUGCCGCGUGUGCGAAGAAGGCCUUCGGGUUGUAAAGCACUUUUGUCAGGGAAGAAAUCCUUUGGGCUAAUACCCUAGGGGGAUGACGGUACCUGAAGAAUAAGCACCGGCUAACUACGUGCCAGCAGCCGCGGUAAUACGUAGGGUGCAAGCGUUAAUCGGAAUUACUGGGGCGUAAAGGCGUGCGCAGGCGGUUGUGUAAGACAGGUGUGAAAUCCCCGGGACUUAACCUGGGAAUUGCAUUCGUGACUGCACGACUAGAGUGGUGUCAGAGGGGGGGU